AUUGAACGCUGGCGGCAUGCCUUACACAUGCAAGUCGAACGGCAGCGGGGGAGAAGCUUGCUUUUCCUGCCGGCGAGUGGCGAACGGGUGAGUAAUACAUCGGAACGUGCCCUGUAGUGGGGGAUAACUAGUCGAAAGAUUAGCUAAUACCGCAUACGACCUGAGGGUGAAAGUGGGGGACCGCAAGGCCUCAUGCUAUAGGAGCGGCCGAUGUCUGAUUAGCUAGUUGGUGGGGUAAAGGCCUACCAAGGCGACGAUCAGUAGCUGGUCUGAGUGGACGAUCAGCCACACUGGGACUGAGACACGGCCCAGACUCCUACGGGAGGCAGCAGUGGGGAAUUCUGGACAAUGGGCGAAAGCCUGAUCCAGCAAUGCCGCGUGUGUGAAGAAGGCCUUCGGGUUGUAAAGCACUUUUGUCCGGAAAGAAAUGGCUCUGGUUAAUACCUGGGGUCGAUGACGGUACCGGAAGAAUAAGGACCGGCUAACUACGUGCCAGCAGCCGCUGUAA
This 508-nucleotide ribosomal RNA is filed under the name uncultured bacterium. RNAcentral's name for it is "partial 16S ribosomal RNA". It matches the Rfam family "Bacterial small subunit ribosomal RNA", at positions 30 to 523 of the family's 1533-position model. The record is from RNAcentral.